Molecule: small nuclear RNA, 103 nt
Organism: Pyrus x bretschneideri (Chinese white pear)
Lineage: Eukaryota; Viridiplantae; Streptophyta; Magnoliopsida; Rosales; Rosaceae
Source: RefSeq, a predicted model, not a curated record
GUCCCUUCGGGACCUUCGAUAAAAUUGGAACUGAUACAGAGAAGAUUAGCAUGGCUCCUGCGCAAGGAUGACACGCAUAAAUCGAGAAAUGGUUCAAAUUUUC